UGGGGAAUUUUGGACAAUGGGCGAAAGCCUGAUCCAGCAAUGCCGCGUGUGUGAAGAAGGCCUUCGGGUUGUAAAGCACUUUUGUCCGGAAAGAAAUCCUUGGCUCUAAUACAGUCGGGGGAUGACGGUACCGGAAGAAUAAGCACCGGCUAACUACGUGCCAGCAGCCGCGGUAAUACGUAGGGUGCAAGCGUUAAUCGGAAUUACUGGGCGUAAAGCGUGCGCAGGCGGUUUGCUAAGACCGAUGUGAAAUCCCCGGGCUCAACCUGGGAACUGCAUUGGUGACUGGCAGGCUAGAGUAUGGCAGAGGGGGGUAGAAUUCCACGUGUAGCAGUGAAAUGCGUAGAGAUGUGGAGGAAUACCGAUGGCGAAGGCAGCCCCCUGGGCCAAUACUGACGCUCAUGCACGAAAGCGUGGGGAGCAAACAGGAUCAGAUACCCUGGUAGUCCACGCCCUAAACGACGUCAACUAGUUGUUGGGGAUUCAUUUCCUUAGUAACGUAGCUAACGCGUGAAGUUGACCGCCUGGGGAGUACGGUCGCAAGAUUAAAACUCAAAGGAAUUGACGGGGUCAUAGCUGUUUCCU
RNAcentral lists this ribosomal RNA (585 nucleotides) under uncultured bacterium. Its description in RNAcentral is "partial 16S ribosomal RNA". It matches the Rfam family "Bacterial small subunit ribosomal RNA", at positions 355 to 1375 of the family's 1533-position model. The record is from RNAcentral.